Molecule: small RNA, 622 nt
Filed under: Pan troglodytes (chimpanzee)
Lineage: Eukaryota; Metazoa; Chordata; Mammalia; Primates; Hominidae
Description: processed transcript
Source: RNAcentral
GAAAUGGAGCCACCUCCUUGGAGCCUGCAGGAGGGCGCAGUCCUGAGAGAAGGGGGCUGUGGCUGGGUGAGCAUGUGGACACCCCAGGAUGCUGUCACUUCUGUGCCUCCUGAGUCAGGCUUCUGCCCCUCCUCUAGUUGUGGAUGGAGGGUUGCAUGGAAUCGUCACUGCUCUCCACUGAGCUCCCUGUGUGACACAGAGCUCAGUCUGACAAGAGAGCAUCGACCUUGAAGAAUAGACUACAAUUAAUUCCUUAAACCAGCUGACACACCAUCCACCGUCGGGCUAUGGGACUGCUGAUGAGAAGUGAUCUGUGGUGUGGACAUAAUUCUGAACAGCCUGUGGGGCAGUGGAGGUCAGCCCAGGCAUCAGGUGAAGAAGGCAGGAGAAAAGAGGUAUGGUGUGAGUCCCGAGAACAUUAUCCUCUAUGGUCAGAGCAUUGGGACUGUCCCCACGGUAGACUUGGCCUCGAGGUAUGAAUGCGCAGCGGUAAUUCUCCAUUCCCCUCUGAUGUCUGGUUUGCGUGUGGCUUUUCCGGAUACCAGGAAAACAUACUGCUUUGAUGCUUUCCCCAGCAUUGACAAGAUAUCUAAAGUCACCUCUCCUGUGUUGGUCAUUCACG